UUCACUCCUCUGCUGUCUCCAUCAGUAGCUCAACCUUCCUGUACUUUCUGGAAUAGGUUGUGUAAAUUCCAUGUUAUUUCUUCCUCGAACAUUUAAUGAGAUUUCCCCUGUGAAAUAAUGCGGGCCCAGUGUUUUCUUUGUGGUAAGGUUUUGGAUCAACAGCUUAACGUUUCGGAAGGUAUGAGGCUAUUUUCGUGUCGGUUUUGAUAAUCUGAGUUUUUCAGGGGACAGCAUUUCAUCUGCAUUGUCCAUUUUGUUCACAUAAGGUUAUUCCUAGCGUUCUCUUUCAAUUGUCUUGAUAAUCAUGCAAUCUGUAAUGAUAAUCCCUCUUCCUGUUCUGAUGUUGGUCAUUUGUGAUCUCUCCCCCCUGUUUAUCUUAAGCAGUCUUGCUUGGCACUUGCUAGUUCUGCUAACCUUCUGAUCAGAAUAACUGACUUUUAGUUUUGUGGAUGAUUUUCAACUCCAGUGAUGUCAGCUCUUAUCUCAAUGAUUUCUCUCUCCCGCUUAUUUUCAGUCAAUUUUCCUGGCUUUUAUCUCACCUCUGGAAGUGGAAUUGUAGGUAAUUGAUUUUAGGCCUUUUUUUUUUUUUCAUUUCUGAUAGAAGCCUUUAAAGCUCUGGAUGUCCCUCCAGAAAGAUCUAUGAUGAGGGAAAGAGGAAGAAAAACCAAAACAGCGCGUUCUUUGGGUAGCAAAGCAGGGGGAGGAUUUCAUUUGGGUUAGGAGCAAAGCGCUCUCUCUUGCUUAUAGGAGGGGGAAGGCGAAGAAGGGUGGUGAUGAAUGAAGGCUUACGGAUCUGCUGACGAGAACCUGAGAGCAUCUCCGUGGGAUGGCUUAUAUUUCCCCAGCAUGCAUGAGGGAGAACACCCACUAAGUGUGUGGGAGGGGAGAGUGGGGAAGAUCUGAGCAAAAAGGAAACCAUGGAAUAGUCGUGGCAGGGUGGGGAGGAGGGGAGUUGGUAAGGAAGGACAACAGAUGCAUCAGGCAGAAGGAAGGGCUUGCGUGGGGAUAACAGGCUGUGAUUUUUAAAGCAAAGCCGUUAACCUGGUGUGUGAUUUUCUACACAGAGCUCAGCUGCUCCUGUGACAAUAUGGAGGACACAGCUAUGGGGGUCCAGCCAGGACUGUGGUUUACCAGUCUGGGUUCGGUCUUUGACCUCUGAAUCCCAGCGCCAUCGCUGAUCUCCCGUGGGACCUCUCUACUGCUUGUUCUCCGCAUCUGUGAAAUGGGGAUGAUCAUGGUACCCACUUCACGGGAAAGUCACGGGGAUUAAAUUAAUUAACGAUAUAAAGCGCUACCCAUGCUAUAAAA
This is a long non-coding RNA of Acinonyx jubatus (cheetah), 1308 nucleotides long. RefSeq lists it as uncharacterized. The transcript has 2 exons. The record is from RefSeq and is a predicted model, not a curated record. NCBI's taxonomy places the organism in Eukaryota, Metazoa, Chordata, Mammalia, Carnivora, Felidae.